GGGUCAGUAGGUUGGUCGUGCCACCGGUACGUACUGGUCUCACUGAUUCCUCCUUCCUGAAGAACCGUAAUGCCAUUAAUUUGGUGUUGCGGGGAAACAGGACUGUUACUUUGAAAAAAUUAGAGUGUUUAAAGCAAGCUGACGCUUGAAUACAUUAGCAUGGAAUAAUGAAUUAGGACGAUCGAUCCUAUUUUGUUGGUUUCUAGGAUUGACGUA
This 216-nucleotide ribosomal RNA is filed under the name Glomeromycotina sp. Its description in RNAcentral is "partial small subunit ribosomal RNA". The stretch from base 40 to 216 matches the Rfam family "Eukaryotic small subunit ribosomal RNA", at positions 686 to 864 of the family's 1831-position model. Lineage: Eukaryota; Fungi; Glomeromycota. The record is from RNAcentral.